This is a long non-coding RNA of Musca domestica (house fly), 753 nucleotides long. RefSeq lists it as uncharacterized. The record is from RefSeq and is a predicted model, not a curated record. NCBI's taxonomy places the organism in Eukaryota, Metazoa, Arthropoda, Insecta, Diptera, Muscidae. The transcript is spliced from 2 exons.
GUAGAAAUACCAGGUAGCAACAUAGGCGAAAAUUACAACAAAGCAACUUUUGUUCGAACUUGAUAUGUCAAAAUUGGAAAUGUUGUGUUGCUCGUACAGUUUAUGCUGGUCCUCGAUAUAAGAGAACUCGAUAAAAGCAAAAGGUAUAUAAAUAUUGGGGUGAAUACCGCGUGGAAUGAUAAUCUCAGUUGGAACAAAUUCAAAACGAAUUCGGAGAACUCAAAAUAAGGCAAGAAAUCAUCAACCCAUCAAAAAUGCACUCACUAUAUGGUGGAUUUGUUUGAACUUUUUUGCGAUGUGUUUGUAGAAAUUUAUAAAAAUUUCAGCCCCAGAUAGCGGAUUUUUUCAAGACCCAACUCGUGAAAUUUGAAACAAUCUAGAGUUCUUCACUACAUCAAAUCCUGGAUUUUUAAAUAUUUCCAGUUCUCAAAUUGUGGAUUUUGAAAUAGUUUCAGGGAUUUAAAGAAAAUGUCCGAGCCCCAAAUAAUGAAUUUUAAAAACAUUCUUCCGGCGUUCAAUCGUAGAUUCUAAAGAAUAUUUCCGAGUCCGACAUUGUUGAAUUUUAAAGAACUAUUUCAUGAGAGUAAUCAUUAAUUUCUUAAAAUUGUUGUUUUUCAAAUGAAUCGAAUUUUUUAUUUAAUGUCUUUAAGAAUUCAAAUCGGAGAAAGUUAAGAUAUAUAAAAUCACUGACCGUCCAUAUGUCUUUAAUUUAAGAUUAGUCAAAUAAACAAUUUUAACAUUGGCAGAAUAUUA